UACGUAGGUGGCAAGCGUUGUCCGGAAUUAUUGGGCGUAAAGCGCGCGCAGGCGGUCCUUUAAGUCUGAUGUGAAAGCCCACGGCCCAACCGUGGAGGGUCAUUGGAAGCUGGGGGACUUGAGUGCAGAAGAGGAGAGUGGAAUUCCACGUGUAGCGGUGAAAUGCGUAGAGAUGUGGAGGAACACCAGUGGCGAAGGCGACUCUCUGGUCUGUAACUGACGCUGAGGCGCGAAAGCGUGGGGAGCAAACAGG
RNAcentral lists this ribosomal RNA (253 nucleotides) under uncultured bacterium. RNAcentral's name for it is "partial 16S ribosomal RNA". It matches the Rfam family "Bacterial small subunit ribosomal RNA", at positions 524 to 776 of the family's 1533-position model. The record is from RNAcentral.